This 253-nucleotide ribosomal RNA is filed under the name uncultured bacterium. RNAcentral's name for it is "partial 16S ribosomal RNA". It matches the Rfam family "Bacterial small subunit ribosomal RNA", at positions 524 to 776 of the family's 1533-position model. The record is from RNAcentral.
UACGUAGGGAGCAAGCGUUGUCCGGAAUCAUUGGGCGUAAAGCGCGCGUAGGUGGCUUCGUAAGUCCGCUGUGAAAGUCAAAGGCUCAACCUUUGAAAGCCGAUGGAUACUGCGGAGCUAGAGUACGGAAGAGGCGAGUGGAAUUCCCGGUGUAGCGGUGGAAUGCGCAGAUAUCAGGAGGAACACCAAUAGCGAAGGCAGCUCGCUGGGACGUUACUGACACUGAGGCGCGAAAGCGUGGGGAGCGAACAGG